AAGGGUAUAGCUCAGUGCUAGAGUGUGUGCUUAGCAUACACGAGGUCCUGGGUUCAAUCCCUAGUACCUCCA
RNAcentral lists this transfer RNA (72 nucleotides) under Camelus bactrianus (Bactrian camel). It matches the Rfam family "tRNA". Rfam says of the family: Transfer RNA (tRNA) molecules are approximately 80 nucleotides in length. Their secondary structure includes four short double-helical elements and three loops (D, anti-codon, and T loops). RNAcentral also lists the same sequence under 2 other names. The record is from Rfam by way of RNAcentral. Lineage: Eukaryota; Metazoa; Chordata; Mammalia; Artiodactyla; Camelidae.